AGCAGCAGCAAGCAGCAGCAAAGAAGCAGCAGCCGCUUGAGGCCGUGAGACCGAACCCGGGGACAAGGUGCAAAACCCGGCCCGGACUCUCUCCCGGCAGGAGUGGAGAGAGGCACACACCAAUCACUCUCUUUCUCCCUUUCCCCUCACCUCCCUUUCGCUUCGCCCCUCCCCACGCCCCCAACCUUACUACUGCCCUCUGAAUAGGAAGUCACAGCUGCCAGAAAAAAAGAAAAAAGAACCUGAGGGAUCUCGGGAAUGAAUCAACUUUUGACCUGUGAACAACUGUGCAUGACCAGGCAGAAACAUUGAGACUCCCCGGUGCCUGUCUGUCAACCCCAACCAGGUGGAAAAGGGGGAAAAAAAGGUGAAGCAUCUUUCCAGGUAAACACAGUUUCUACAAGGAGACGAUUUGCUUGAAGGACCAGAAAUAACAUCCUAGAACCUGGACUUAACUUAUUUCAAGAGC
Molecule: long non-coding RNA, 469 nt
Organism: Dromiciops gliroides (monito del monte)
Lineage: Eukaryota; Metazoa; Chordata; Mammalia; Microbiotheria; Microbiotheriidae
Exons: 3
Source: RefSeq, a predicted model, not a curated record